GUCUACGGCCAUGCCACCCUGAACAAGCCCGAUGUCUGAUCUCGGAAGCUAAGCAGGGUUGGGCCUGGUUAGUACUUGGAUGGGAGACCACCUAGGAAGACUGUGUGCUGUAGGUA
This 116-nucleotide ribosomal RNA is filed under the name Pteropus alecto (black flying fox). The record is from RNAcentral. Lineage: Eukaryota; Metazoa; Chordata; Mammalia; Chiroptera; Pteropodidae.